AGCGGACGCUGGCGGCAGCCUUAACACAUGCAAGUCGAGCGGGCACAGCAAUCUGUCAGCGGCAGACGGUUGAGUAACGCGUGGGAACGUACCUGUUGGUUCGAAACAACACAGGGAAACUUGUGCUAAUACCGGAUAAGCCCUAACGGGGAAAGAUUUAUCGCAGAAAGAUCGGCCCGGGUCUGAAUAGCUAGUUGGUGAGGUAAUGGGUCACCAAGGCGACGAUCAGUAGCUGGGCUGAGAGGAUGAUCAGCCACAUUGGGACUGAGACACGGCCCAAACUCCUACGGGAGGCAGCAGUGGGGAAUAUUGGACAAUGGGCGCAAGCCUGAUCCAGCCAUGCCGCGUGAGUGAUGAAGGCCCUAGGGUUGUAAAGCUCUUUUGUGCGGGAAGAUAAUGACGGUACCGCAAGAAUAAGCCCCGGCUAACUUCGUGCCAGCCGCCGCAGUAA
RNAcentral lists this ribosomal RNA (451 nucleotides) under uncultured bacterium. Its description in RNAcentral is "partial 16S ribosomal RNA". It matches the Rfam family "Bacterial small subunit ribosomal RNA", at positions 29 to 523 of the family's 1533-position model. The record is from RNAcentral.